Molecule: non-coding RNA, 29 nt
Filed under: Mus musculus (house mouse)
Lineage: Eukaryota; Metazoa; Chordata; Mammalia; Rodentia; Muridae
Source: RNAcentral
UCAUUUAAAACUGAUUCCUGAAGACUGCU